This 446-nucleotide ribosomal RNA is filed under the name uncultured bacterium. RNAcentral's name for it is "bacterial SSU rRNA". It matches the Rfam family "Bacterial small subunit ribosomal RNA", at positions 331 to 793 of the family's 1533-position model. The record is from RNAcentral.
CCAGACUCCUACGGGAGGCAGCAGUGGGGAAUAUUGGGCAAUGGAGGAAACUCUGACCCAGCAACGCCGCGUGAAGGAUGAAGGUUUUCGGAUUGUAAACUUCUGUUGCGAGGGAUGAAGAAUGACGGUACCUCGUGAGGAAGCCCCGGCUAACUCCGUGCCAGCAGCCGCGGUAAUACGGAGGAUGCGAGCGUUAUCCGGAUUUAUUGGGUUUAAAGGGUGCGUAGGCGGACUGUUAAGUCAGCGGUAAAAGCCGGGGGCUCACCCCCGGGGAGCCGUUGAAACUGGCUGUCUUGAGAUGUCGAGAGGUAUGCGGAAUGCGCGGUGUAGCGGUGAAAUGCUUAGAUAUUGCGCAGAACUCCGAUUGCGAAGGCAGCAUACCGGCGGCGAUCUGACGCUGAGGCACGAAAGCGUGGGUAUCGAACAGGAUUAGAUACCCGAGUACG